CGCUCUCUGCCCAGCUACCUCACGCGCACCUCACUGAUGCCGGAGCCGGAAUAUGACGUAAUUCCGGCUCCGGUAUCAGUAAGCGUCGCGCGAGGGAGCUGGGCAGAGAGUGCU
This is a non-coding RNA of Pelobates cultripes (western spadefoot toad), 114 nucleotides long. The record is from the annotation of a GenBank genome assembly. NCBI's taxonomy places the organism in Eukaryota, Metazoa, Chordata, Amphibia, Anura, Pelobatidae.